RNAcentral lists this ribosomal RNA (263 nucleotides) under uncultured bacterium. RNAcentral's name for it is "partial 16S ribosomal RNA". It matches the Rfam family "Bacterial small subunit ribosomal RNA", at positions 793 to 1055 of the family's 1533-position model. The record is from RNAcentral.
GUCCUAGCUGUAAACGAUGAGUGCUGGGUGUAGGGGGUAUUAACCCCCCCUGUGCCGAAGCUAACGCAUUAAGCACUCCGCCUGGGGAGUACGGUCGCAAGGCUGAAACUCAAAAGGAAUUGACGGGGCCCGCACAAGCGGUGGAGCAUGUGGUUCAAUUCGACGCAACGCGAAGAACCUUACCGGGGUUUGAACCGUACGGGACAGCUGCAGAGAUGUAGUUUUCCUUCGGGACCCGUAUAGAGGUGCUGCAUGGCUGUCGU